This 448-nucleotide ribosomal RNA is filed under the name uncultured bacterium. RNAcentral's name for it is "bacterial SSU rRNA". It matches the Rfam family "Bacterial small subunit ribosomal RNA", at positions 329 to 793 of the family's 1533-position model. The record is from RNAcentral.
UUCCAGACUCCUACGGGAGGCAGCAGUCGGGAAUAUUGCGCAAUGGAGGAAACUCUGACGCAGUGACGCCGCGUAUAGGAAGAAGGUUUUCGGAUUGUAAACUAUUGUCCACAGGGAAGAUAAAAGACUGUACCUGUGAAGAAAGCUCCGGCUAACUACGUGCCAGCAGCCGCGGUAAUACGUAGGGGGCAAGCGUUAUCCGGAUUUACUGGGUGUAAAGGGAGCGUAGACGGCGAUACAAGUCUGAAGUGAAAGCCCGGGGCUCAACCCCGGGACUGCUUUGGAAACUGUGUUGCUGGAGUGCUGGAGAGGCAAGCGGAAUUCCUAGUGUAGCGGUGAAAUGCGUAGAUAUUAGGAAGAACACCAGUGGCGAAGGCGGCUUGCUGGACAGUAACUGACGUUGAGGCUCGAAAGCGUGGGGAGCAAACAGGAUUAGAUACCCUUGUAA